Pan troglodytes (chimpanzee) is the source of this 3326-nucleotide long non-coding RNA. RefSeq lists it as uncharacterized. The record is from RefSeq and is a predicted model, not a curated record. NCBI's taxonomy places the organism in Eukaryota, Metazoa, Chordata, Mammalia, Primates, Hominidae. The transcript has 4 exons.
CAGAGAGCAUAUGCACUAUCAGCCUUGGUAGUGGUGAGAAGAUGAUGCAGAACAGAGUCCCAGUCACAUCAUGAAGGACAUGUAAAGUUCAGUGUCUACCCUUCCCUGGCUUGCUGUGUGUCUCAGGAGGUUGGCCUCUAGAGACGGUGUCACUCAGCCUCCACUGGGCUCUGGAUUUCCAGUUAGGCUUGACCAGUGAGAGGCACCAGCAGAAUAUUGGAGGAUAGUACAGAUGCUGUAGAAGAACCUCUUCUGCAAGACCAUUGAUUCAUGCCUUGAGACAGUAUGAAUCAAGAUGACUUUUUUUUUUCCAAGGAGUUUUUAAGAACAGCUAUGCAGAGGAGGAAUGACAAGUAGAAGAGGGGAAAAGGGAAAAUAUAAACAAAAAAAAAGUACAUUCCACACAAAAGCAGAGGAACCAAGUGAAAUCUGAGAUGUGAGUAAAGUACUCUUGUUACACCAUGUUAACCACUUAGGCUGUAAGAUUCAGCAUGUGACACAAUUUUCUGAGGCUUUUGAAGUAGUAAUACUAAUUAUACGAUUAAGUAUAGUACUAUUAACCUUGACUCUGGAAGCUCCAGGAGCUUUCAUUCAUUAUUUAUUCAUGGAGCUCAGACUAUACUACUCUGGAGGUACAGAGAUGACUAUUUGCCUUCAAGGGAUAUACAGCCAAUUAGAGAAGACAGACAAGUAAUCAGAGGAUGCUAAUAUAGUUUAAUAUGUACUAUAAUACUGGAAAUGCUAUUUUGUGGCAAAACGUGCUAAGAAAAGAGUCCAAAAACUCUUUUUCAGGAUUUCAUGUGUUGGAUGUUAAAAUGGCAUUUUACAGCUAUUUUUUUAAAACUGGCAUUAGUUGCACUUAAAAUAAGCAUUUCAUAGCAAUAAUAUUCAAUAUUAUUUUAUAGUUCCCUAUAUAAUAAAUGAAUACUAUUUUAGUCACAUAUUAUUUCAAGUCAGUGUGCAACUUUUUCCCACAGUUAAUAUGGGACCAGCUUAUUUCAUAAUUGAUAUAUCAGAGCAAAUUCAGCAGAGUGGGAAGGAAUGAAUUUGACAUUCAAUUCCUUGCUUCAGAAUAUAGUAAAAUGAUAGCUCCUUUGAAGUUGCCCCCAACUUUUUCUGAGUUUGGGGUUCUGUGAAUAUAUUUGGUUCUGGAAGAGUUACAACAGUGUUGCUGGAGGGUACUAUAGCACUAAAUACCAUUUUGAUACCUUUGUUUAUAUGGGUGAUUAUAGUGAUAGCUUUUGAUAUAAAAUCAGGUAAAGCUCUGGAUACUUCAAAGGAAUCACUCCACCAUUUAAAUUAGUAUUUCCACUGAACAAGGAUCUGUGCAAAGGCUACUCCAAGUAGUGUCAUGUGGAGGAUGCAAUAAACAGAGGUGCUAUUGCCUAAUUUGUUUCAGUAAGUAUACAUUAGGAUUAACCACUCAAAAACACUAAUCACAGUUUGGGCAAACAUCCUCUCCCUCCUCUGAAGAAGUCUAAGACUGAACUUAAAGGUAAUUCUACCAGAACUCUGAAGACAGUGUUGUGUAAAAUAUUCCCAGUGAAAAUAAAUUAGUGGAGAAAAAAAUCUUAAAGAGAGGGCAAGCUGUAUGCAGCAGAAGUUAGCAAGAGCAGAGAUACAUUAGAAGGAACGGAGCUACAGCAGGAAGGGUUGGUGAAGGGAUUAGCCUGAGACCAAAAGAAACUGAAAGGUGAAGAACUGGGGAUUUUAGAAAUGCAUUGAAAGCCAAUUUGGCUUGAUUUCAGUCACAUAUUUAAUUUCCUCAUUCUUACUCUUAGGAGUAUGCCUAAGAACAUGCUGCACUGUCUCUACUCCUUCACCCACACCAUCUCAAGCGAGGUGGAACCAAUGAUAUAUGUAGUAAAUUUGAUUAGAGUAAGAGUAUCCUUGGCUGAGCUUCAGCCAUCGUUCCUUUCAGGAGCAUCAUUUCUUGUGGAGAGCAUAUGUUCUCCUUCUCCUCCAAGGACAAGCUCUUUCUCCCAUAUAAGAAGACUCGUUUGGGUCCAAUGCUGCCUUGAACUUGGUUAAAUCUGCUGUAUUCUGAGAUUUGACAUUAUCAAAUUCCUGUGGCUAACAGACAUAAAGCUAUAUUCUCCAAUCUGGCCUCUAUUGUUAAUAAAAAUGUUACGUUAGUUUCUGUCUGUUAUUCUUUUGUUUCUCAAUGAGAUCAGUAUUGGGUGGGAGAAAGGACUGUUAUCUCACGUGCCAAUUAAUCAUUUACUCAUCAAGUAUAGCAUGCAUUAUGUGAGUGUGGCAGACUGCUAGUGGGCCCCCCAAAUCUGCCCUUCCAUUCUUAUUCAGACAUGGAUAUCCAGCUAGAGACCAUAUUUCCCAUUCUCUUUGCACAAAAUGUGACCAUAGAGCUAAAUAUCACCAUGGAAAGUGAUCAGAAGCAAUGAGUGCAACUUCUACCUCACUUGCUUCAAAGGAAGUUACUUUCUCUUGUCUUCCUGUGGACUAGACCUUAGGAAAAGCUUCAAGCUAAUUUGACUAUUCAGAGGAGGACUGAGUCCCAGGGGUUAAUAGAGCAGCAUUGUGGAGGGAAUCUGAGUUGCUGGAUGUCCUUGGAGAGUAGACUUGGCCCACUAUGAUACCUUGCCCUAUUACAUAAAAGUGAAAUAAACAUUUAUCUCAUUUCCAUUGUGUAUUUGGGGAUCUUUCUUAAAGAAGCUUAGUGUUUACCCUAACACCCAGGAUCAAGUUGAUUUGGCCUUAAAUAAUCACUGUUAUAAGAUGCAGAGAGGUAGAUUGAAUUUAUCAUACGAAUGUCUUUAGCUACAAAUUAGCCCUAUGGGGUAUAGCUACUAUACUUCUUAGAGAAAUGAGUGGCAUAAUUUUAAUAUAAAUAAUAUGACAACUAUUAGUAUAUUAUUAAUACAUCCCAAGAAUGGUAUGUGAGACAAGAAGCUCCCUGGUUGUGCUUAUAUCUGUAAGAAAGGUAACUUAAGUAAACAUAGGCUUGCUCUAAUUCUGUUUACUUGAACCAGUUAAUUUUCAGUUACAUUAAGAAAGUUUGACAAAAUCCUUUAGGGCUUUCAGGCAGACAGGACAGCAAGCAUAAAGGUUCCUAAGCCAGGAAUGAACUUGGCAUGUGUGAGAGUCAAAAAGAGCAGUGUACCUGGUACAUGAUGGAUAAAGAAGAGUUGUAAAGAAUGAAUUUAGGCAGAUUGGCAGGGGCCAGAUCAGACAAGUCCUUGAAAAUCAGGAUAAGAAAUUUGGAUUUUAUUCUAGGCAUGAUGGGAAGCCAUUAGAAAACUUUAAGCAGCUAGAUGGCAUUAGUAGGUCUCUUUUUAAAAAAAAAACACCCUAUCGAAAAUUGAUAC